Molecule: transfer RNA, 363 nt
Filed under: Microcystis sp. EG43
Lineage: Bacteria; Bacillati; Cyanobacteriota; Cyanophyceae; Chroococcales; Microcystaceae
Description: 16S-23S ribosomal RNA intergenic spacer
Rfam family: tRNA (bases 135-208)
Source: RNAcentral
AAGGGAGACCUAAUUCCGGUAGGAGACGAAAAAAAAGUAGUCCCUACCAAGAAUCAAUCCCAAAAGGUCGGAGCGAGGCAAAAUUGGCUUUCAAACUAGGUUCUGGGUUCACACAAGACCUGAAUCAGGAACAAGGGCUAUUAGCUCAGGUGGUUAGAGCGCACCCCUGAUAAGGGUGAGGUCCCUGGUUCGAGUCCAGGAUGGCCCACCUGCACAGGUGGCAAAAACAAAGAAAAAAAGCUCCGAAUCAGCACCUUAUCUUACUUAUAUAGUAAGAGAGAAUGCUGGCUCUGAGUACAGAGUCCAGAGGAACCUUGAAAACUGCAUAGAGCUAGGUGAAAAAGCCAAAAAAGAAGACCGCAA